CGAUAUCACACUUAUAGGCUUAUACGAGGUCAAUACGUGACCUAUACGACGCUAUACGAUACGAUAUCACACUUAUAGGCUUAUACGAAGUCAAUACAUGACAUAUACUACGUUAUACCAUACAAUAUCACACUUAUAGGCUUAUACGAGGUCAAUACGGGACAUAUACUAUGCUAUACGAUACGAUAUCACACUUAUAGGCUUAUACGAGGUCACUACGGGACAUAUACUAUGCUAUACGAUACGAUAUCACACUUAUAGUCUUAUACGAGGUCAAUACGUGACCUAAACCACACCUAUACGAUACGAUAUCACACUUAUAGGCUUAUACGAGGUCAAUACGGGAACUAAAUCACACCUAUAUGCUUAUACGGGCUUAUACGAGGUCAAUACGUGACCUAUACGACGCUAUACGAUACGAUAUCACACUUAUAGGCUUAUACGAAGUCAAUACAUGA
This 458-nucleotide long non-coding RNA is filed under the name Helianthus annuus (common sunflower). Lineage: Eukaryota; Viridiplantae; Streptophyta; Magnoliopsida; Asterales; Asteraceae. The record is from RNAcentral.